Molecule: long non-coding RNA, 1378 nt
Organism: Ictalurus punctatus (channel catfish)
Lineage: Eukaryota; Metazoa; Chordata; Actinopteri; Siluriformes; Ictaluridae
Source: Ensembl
GCAGGUGUAUUAUUGUGUGUUAAUGCAGGUGUGUUAGUGUGUGUUAAUGCAGGUGUGUUAAUGCAGGUGUAUUAGUGUGUGUUAAUGCAGGUGUAUUAUUGUGUGUUAAUGCAGGUGUAUUAUUGUGUGUUAAUGCAGGUGUGUUAAUGCAGGUGUGUUAAUGCAGGUGUGUUAGUGUGUGUUAAUGCAGGUGUGUUAGUGUGUGUUAAUGCAGGUGUCUUAUUGUGUGUUAAUGCAGGUGUGUUAGUGUGUGUGUUAAAGCAGGUGUAUUAUUGUGUGUUAAUGCGAGUGUGUUAGUGUGUGUUAAUGCAGGUGUGUUAUUGUGUGUUAAUGCAGGUGUAUUAGUCUGUGUUAAUGCAGGUGUGUUAGUGUGUGUGUUAAUGCAGGUGUGUUAGUGUGUGUUAAUGCAGGUGUAUUAGUGUGUGUUAAUGCAGGUGUGUUAAUGCAGGUGUAUUAUUGUGUGUUAAUGCAGGUGUGUUAAUGCAGGUGUGUUAGUGUGUGUUAAUGCAGGUGUGUUAUUGUGUGUUAAUGCAGGUGUAUUAUUGUGUGUUAAUGCAGGUGUGUUAAUGCAGGUGUGUUAAUGCAGGUGUGUUAGUGUGUGUGUUAAUGCAGGUGUAUUAGUGUGUGUUAAUGCAGGUGUGUUAGUGUGUGUUAAUGCAGGUGUAUUAGUGUGUGUUAAUGCAGGUGUGUUAAUGUGGGUGUGUUAGUGUGUGUGUUAAUGCAGGUGUAUUAUUGUGUGUUAAUGCAGGUGUGUUAGUGUGUGUUGAUGCAGGUGUAUCAUUGUGUGUUAAUGCAGGUGUGUUAGUGUGUGUUAAUGCAGGUGUGUUAAUGCAGGUGUAUUAUUGUGUGUUAAUGCAGGUGUAUUGUGUGUUAAUGCAGGUGUGUUAGUGUGUGUUAAUGCAGGUGUGUUAGUGUGUGUUAAUGCAGGUGUGUUAUUGUGUGUUAAUGCAGGUGUGUUAGUGUGUGUGUUAAUGCAGGUGUAUCAUUGUGUGUUAAUGCAGGUGUGUUAGUGUGUGUUAAUGCAGGUGUAUUAUUGUGUGUUAAUGCAGGUGUGUUAUUGUGUGUUGAUGCAGGUGUAUUAUUGUGUGUUAAUGCAGGUGUGUUAGUGUGUGUUAAUGCAGGUGUGUUAGUGUGUGUUAAUGCAGGUGUAUUAUUGUGUGUUAAUGCAGGUGUAUUAUUGUGUGUUAAUGCAGGUGUAUUAUUGUGUGUUAAUGCAGGUGUGUUAAUGCGGGGUGUGUUAGUGUGUGUUAAUGCAGGUGUAUUAUUGUGUGUUAAUGCAGGUGUAUUAGUGUGUGUUAAUGCAGGUGUAUUAUUGUGUGUUAAUGCAGGUGUGUUAGUGUGUGUGUUAAUGCAGGUGUAUUAUUGUGUGUUAAUGCAG